Lemur catta (Ring-tailed lemur) is the source of this 339-nucleotide long non-coding RNA. RefSeq lists it as uncharacterized. NCBI's taxonomy places the organism in Eukaryota, Metazoa, Chordata, Mammalia, Primates, Lemuridae. The transcript has 3 exons. The record is from RefSeq and is a predicted model, not a curated record.
UCCCACCCAGCCCCAGCCCUGGCUCCUCCUGCUCUCAUCCUUAGAUCUGUUGGCCCUUGUGCUCUCACCCAGGUGCCUACAGUUAGCAGCUUCUGCGGGGGUAGGCUGCCCCCUACAUCUGCCCUGUUGAUACGGGAUUCAGAUUCUGGAGCUUCAGCAAAGUUUUUAAAGUGGAGGUGAUGGAAGAGACCAGCCAGGGCCGUGUUCAGAUGGGGUUAGGAAGCCAAUGAGGUGUGAUGCAAAAGGAAGAUGUGUAUGCUAUCAGGAUGGCAGGGACCCUGUCGUUAAACAAGAACCUACAGAUGGAGGAGACACGAGCACCAUAAUCUCACCCAUCAA